Molecule: ribosomal RNA, 377 nt
Filed under: uncultured organism
Description: partial 16S ribosomal RNA
Rfam family: Bacterial small subunit ribosomal RNA
Source: RNAcentral
GUAGGUGGCAAGCGUUGUCCGGAAUUAUUGGGCGUAAAGCGCGCGCAGGCGGGGUUCGUUUAAGUCUGAUGUGAAAGGCCCACGGGCUCAACCGUGGAGGGUCAUUGGAAACUGGAGAACUUGAGUACAGAAGAGGAAAGCGGAAUUCCACGUGUAGCGGUGAAAUGCGUAGAGAUGUGGAGGAACACCAGUGGCGAAGGCGGCUUUCUGGUCUGUAACUGACGCUGAGGCGCGAAAGCGUGGGGAGCAAACAGGAUUAGAUACCCUGGUAGUCCACGCCGUAAACGAUGAGUGCUAAGUGUUAGGGGGGUUUCCGCCCCUUAGUGCUGCGGCUAACGCAUUAAGCACUCCGCCUGGGGAGUACGGCCGCAAGGCUG